UACGUAGGGUGCGAGCGUUGUCCGGAAUUAUUGGGCGUAAAGAGCUCGUAGGCGGUGUGUCACGUCGGCCGUGAAAACCUGCGGCUCAACCGUGUGGUCUGCAGUCGAUACGGGCAGGCUGGAGUUCGGUAGGGGAGACUGGAAUUCCUGGUGUAGCGGUGAAAUGCGCAGAUAUCAGGAGGAACACCGGUGGCGAAGGCGGGUCUCUGGGCCGAUACUGACGCUGAGGAGCGAAAGCGUGGGGAGCGAACAGG
RNAcentral lists this ribosomal RNA (254 nucleotides) under uncultured bacterium. Its description in RNAcentral is "partial 16S ribosomal RNA". It matches the Rfam family "Bacterial small subunit ribosomal RNA", at positions 524 to 776 of the family's 1533-position model. The record is from RNAcentral.